UGAAGUUGAACUUGAUGGGUGCCUAUCUCACUGUCCCGGUCUCGAGGUCAUCCAGGGAUCUCCUCCGUUUCCUGUGGAAAGAUCAGGUUUGGCGUUUCACUUGCCUUCCCUUCGGUCUGUCUUCGGCCCCCUGGUGCUUCACCAAGGUCAUGCGCCCAGUGGUAGCUUGGCUCCGCAGUCGCGGGAUCAGGUUGAUCAUCU
Long non-coding RNA from Bufo bufo (common toad), 201 nucleotides. RefSeq lists it as uncharacterized. The transcript has 4 exons. The record is from RefSeq and is a predicted model, not a curated record. Lineage: Eukaryota; Metazoa; Chordata; Amphibia; Anura; Bufonidae.